UCCUACGGGGGGCAGCAGUGAGGAAUAUUGGUCAAUGGGCUUACGCCUGAACCAGCCAAGUCGCGUGAGGGAAGACUGCCCUAUGGGUUGUAAACCUCUUUUGUCAGGGAGCAACGCCGGCUACGUGUAGCCGGACUGAGAGUACCUGAAGAAAAAGCAUCGGCUAACUCCGUGCCAGCAGCCGCGGUAAUACGGAGGAUGCGAGCGUUAUCCGGAUUUAUUGGGUUUAAAGGGUGCGUAGGCGGAAUGCCAAGUCAGCGGUAAAAUCGCGGGGCUCAACCCCGACAAGCCGUUGAAACUGGCUU
RNAcentral lists this ribosomal RNA (305 nucleotides) under uncultured bacterium. RNAcentral's name for it is "bacterial SSU rRNA". It matches the Rfam family "Bacterial small subunit ribosomal RNA", at positions 337 to 639 of the family's 1533-position model. The record is from RNAcentral.